UUGAGUCUCCUGAAGGAACGUUGAAGACGACGACGUUGAUAGGUCGGGUGUGUAAGCGCAGCGAUGUGUUGAGCUAACCGAUACUAAUGAACCGUGAGGCUUAACCUU
Molecule: ribosomal RNA, 108 nt
Filed under: Enterobacter hormaechei
Lineage: Bacteria; Pseudomonadati; Pseudomonadota; Gammaproteobacteria; Enterobacterales; Enterobacteriaceae
Description: partial 23S ribosomal RNA
Rfam family: Bacterial large subunit ribosomal RNA
Source: RNAcentral